GCUGGGUAUGGUGGUGCACGCCUGUAAUCCCAGCUGCUUUGGAGGGUGAGACAGGAGGAUCUUGAGUUCAAAGCCAGCCUCAGCAAAAGUGAGGCGCUAAGCAGCUCAGUGAGACUCUGUCUCUA
Molecule: small RNA, 125 nt
Filed under: Marmota monax (woodchuck)
Lineage: Eukaryota; Metazoa; Chordata; Mammalia; Rodentia; Sciuridae
Source: RNAcentral